Molecule: ribosomal RNA, 424 nt
Filed under: Fusobacteriota bacterium
Lineage: Bacteria; Fusobacteriati; Fusobacteriota
Description: Fusobacteria bacterium partial 16S ribosomal RNA
Rfam family: Bacterial small subunit ribosomal RNA
Source: RNAcentral
UGAGGAAUAUUGGUCAAUGGGCGAGAGCCUGAACCAGCCAAGUCGCGUGAAGGAAGACAGUCCUAAGGAAUGUAAACUUCUUUUAUACGGGAAUAACGGGCGAUACGAGUAUUGCAUUGAAUGUACCGUAAGAAUAAGCAUCGGCUAACUCCGUGCCAGCAGCCGCGGUAAUACGGAGGAUGCGAGCGUUAUCCGGAUUUAUUGGGUUUAAAGGGUGCGUAGGUUGUUCGGUAAGUCAGCGGUGAAACCUGAGCGCUCAACGUUCAGCCUGCCGUUGAAACUGCCGGGCUUGAGUUCAGUGGCGGCAGGCGGAAUUCGUGGUGUAGCGGUGAAAUGCAUAGAUAUCACGAGGAACUCCGAUUGCGAAGGCAGCUUGCCAUACUGCGACUGACACUGAAGCACGAAGGCGUGGGUAUCAAACAGG